This 343-nucleotide unclassified non-coding RNA is filed under the name soil metagenome. RNAcentral describes it as "partial contains 5.8S ribosomal RNA, internal transcribed spacer 2, and large subunit ribosomal RNA". The stretch from base 1 to 120 matches the Rfam family "5.8S ribosomal RNA", at positions 35 to 154 of the family's 154-position model. The record is from RNAcentral.
GAUGAAGAACGUAGCGAAAUGCGAUAGGUAAUGUGAAUUGCAGAAUUCAGUGAAUCAUCGAAUCUUUGAACGCACAUUGCGCCCGCCAGCAUUCUGGCGGGCAUGCCUGUUCGAGCGUCAUUUCAACCCUCGAGCCCCCCCGGGGGCCUCGGUGUUGGGGGACGGCACACCAGCCGCCCCCGAAAUGCAGUGGCGACCCCGCCGCAGCCUCCCCUGCGUAGUAGCACACACCUCGCACCGGAGCGCGGAGGCGGUCACGCCGUAAAACGCCCAACUUUCUUAGAGUUGACCUCGGAUCAGGUAGGAAUACCCGCUGAACUUAAGCAUAUCAAUAAGCGGAGGA